RNAcentral lists this ribosomal RNA (524 nucleotides) under Microhyla nilphamariensis. RNAcentral's name for it is "partial 16S ribosomal RNA". It matches the Rfam family "Bacterial large subunit ribosomal RNA", at positions 1848 to 2587 of the family's 2925-position model. Lineage: Eukaryota; Metazoa; Chordata; Amphibia; Anura; Microhylidae. The record is from RNAcentral.
GAAGGUCCAGCCUGCCCAGUGACUAAGUUAAACGGCCGCGGUACCCUAACCGUGCAAAGGUAGCGCAAUCACUUGUUCUUUAAAUGAGGACUAGUAUGAACGGCAUCACGAGGGUUACACUGUCUCCCUAUUCCAUUCAGUGAAACUGAUCUUCCCGUGAAGAAGCGGGAAUAUAAAUAUAAGACGAGAAGACCCCAUGGAGCUUUAAACUCAGUGUCAUCUGCCACUUCAAUACCCUCUUAAUUACGCAGACCAUGAUAACUAGUUUUCGGUUGGGGUGACCGCGGAGUAAAACAAAACCUCCACAACGAAAGGAACUAACAACCUAAUCCAAGAGCAACAUCUCUAAGAAUCAACAAAUUGACUUAAUUGAUCCAAUUACUUGAUCAACGAACCAAGUUACCCUGGGGAUAACAGCGCAAUCCAUUUCAAGAGCUCAUAUCGACAAAUGGGUUUACGACCUCGAUGUUGGAUCAGGGUAUCCCAGUGGCGCAGCAGCUACUAACGGUUCGUUUGUUCAACGA